This 1121-nucleotide long non-coding RNA is filed under the name Sus scrofa (pig). Its description in RNAcentral is "lncRNA (ENSSSCG00070006632.1)". The record is from RNAcentral. Lineage: Eukaryota; Metazoa; Chordata; Mammalia; Artiodactyla; Suidae.
UCCUCGAAUUCCCACCCAAUAUCAAAGCCAAUCACUGAUUGCGUUUGAAGAUGGAAGCCCUUGUGGCAUCAACAAACAGGAGCUUGAGUGGGUCACGCCAGUUCUUUGUUGAAAAGGAAACAAAUCCAUAAAAGAACAUGCUGUUCUUUAAAAGUUGUAUUUUAACUUAAGGAUAAACUGUGGGAUUAAUAUUUUGACCUAACUUGCGUUCUGAGGUUUGGUUGGGUUAUUUUUCUUUUUUUUAAGACCUAAUGAUUAAGACAGACUCCAGUGUUAUGGCCUAUCUGUGAAGUGUCACCCACACGUCUCAUAAACACACAGCCUUUACCAGCAUAUCCUGUUCUAGGUUUCACAGAAACUCACUUAACUCUCAUGGCAACACUUCAAGGCAGCCAGCUUAUAUAUGAAGAGCCCUGUCAAUUUUCCCACCGCUGUGCAUCAUGGAUACCAAACAGCCACACACAGAAAAGAGAGGUGCAACUGCUGAGAGGAAGCAUCCUAAGGAAAUCUGAUUAGUGAAGAUCGGAAAAGUCAUCCUUGAGGAGGUGAUGAAGCCAGGUCCUGAAGACUGGGUAGGAGUUAAACUGGUGACUAUAUAUCCAAAAAACUAAAUCCAGGAAACUCAACAGGUAAUGACUCAAUACUAAUCUUUUAAUUGACUGACUAAGGAAACUAUAUAAAAUUUUGUGUGUGUGUGUGCUUUUCAGGGCUACACCCACGGCAAAUGGAGGCUCCCAGGCUAAGGGGUUGAAUCGGAGCUAAAGCCACCAGCCUACGCCACAGCCACAACAAUGAGGGAUCAGAGCCAUGUCUGCAACCUACACCACAGCCCAUGGUAAUGCCGGAUCCUUAACCCACUGAACGAGGCCAGGGAUCGAACCUGCAACCUCAUGGUUCCUCGUCGGAUUUGUUUCUGCUGGGCCACAAUGGGAACUCCAUAAAUGUUUUUAAAGACCAAGUUACAAAUGUGCCCCUCAAGAGAAACCACUGUUUGGAGUCCCAACAAGCAUGACACUGACUGAAGUGUCCCAUCAUGGCUCCCUUUGGAAAGACCCAGGCCACCUAAAGGGAAUGAUAAGAUCAACAAUAAAAUCUUUUUAAUUAUCGCUAUUUUCCUGGUU